RNAcentral lists this ribosomal RNA (790 nucleotides) under uncultured archaeon. RNAcentral describes it as "bacterial SSU rRNA". It matches the Rfam family "Archaeal small subunit ribosomal RNA", at positions 85 to 876 of the family's 1478-position model. The record is from RNAcentral.
ACGGCUCAGUAACACGUGGACAACCUACCCUCAGCACGGGGAUAAACCCGGGAAACUGGGUAUAAUACCCGAUAGUUCUGGUUUGCUGGAAUGCUUUCAGGACGAAAGCUCCGGCGACUGAGGAUGGGUCUGCGGCCUAUCAGGUAGUAGUGGGUGUAAUGUACCUACUAGCCUACGACGGGUACGGGUCGUGAGAGCGAGAGCCCGGAGAUGGAUUCUGAGACACGAAUCCAGGCCCUACGGGGUGCAGCAGGCGCGAAAACUUUACAAUGCUGGCAACAGCGAUAAGGGGACCUCGAGUGCCAGGAUACAAUCUUGGCUGUCGUAAUGCCUAAAAAGCAUUGCAUAGCAAGGGCCGGGCAAGACCGGUGCCAGCCGCCGCGGUAACACCGGCGGCUCGAGUGGUAACCGCUAUUAUUGGGUCUAAAGGGUCUGUAGCCGGCCGGAUAAGUCUCUUGGGAAAUCCAGCUGCUCAACAGUUGGGCUUUCAGGAGAUACUGUUCGGCUCGAGGCCGGGAGAGGUGAGAGGUACUUCAGGGGUAGGGGUGAAAUCUUGUAAUCCUUGAAGGGCCACCAGUGGCGAAGGCGUCUCACCAGAACGGACCUGACGGCAAGGGACGAAAGCUAGGGGCACGAACCGGAUUAGAUACCCGGGUAGUCCUAGCCGUAAACGAUACUCGCUAGGUGUCAGCCACGGUGCGACCGUGGUUGGUGCCGUAGGGAAGCCGUGAAGCGAGCCACCUGGGAAGUACGGCCGCAAGGCUGAAACUUAAAGGAAUUGGCGGGGGAG